UUACGACCACAUCACGUUAGAACAGCGGUUCCCGUAUGAUCACCGAAGUUAAACAACGUCGAGAUUGGUCAGCACCUGGAAGGGUGAAUUCUUGGGAACACCAAAUGCUGUAA
This is a non-coding RNA of Acanthosepion pharaonis, 113 nucleotides long. Lineage: Eukaryota; Metazoa; Mollusca; Cephalopoda; Sepiida; Sepiidae. The record is from the annotation of a GenBank genome assembly.